Molecule: small RNA, 16 nt
Filed under: Arabidopsis thaliana (thale cress)
Lineage: Eukaryota; Viridiplantae; Streptophyta; Magnoliopsida; Brassicales; Brassicaceae
Description: ATSL148190
Source: RNAcentral
UUUUGUUCAUUUUUUU